GACGAACGCUGGCGGCGUGCUUAACACAUGCCAGUCGAACGGAAAGGCCCUGCUUUUGUGGGGUGCUCGAGUGGCGAACGGGUGAGUAACACGUGAGUAACCUGCCCUUGACUUUGGGAUAACUUCAGGAAACUGGGGCUAAUACCGGAUAGGAGCUCCUGCUGCAUGGUGGGGGUUGGAAAGUUUCGGCGGUUGGGGAUGGACUCGCGGCUUAUCAGCUUGUUGGUGGGGUAGUGGCUUGCCAAGGCUUUGACGGGUAGCCGGCCUGAGAGGGUGACCGGCCACAUUGGGACUGAGAUACGGCCCAGACUCCUACGGGAGGCAGCAGUGGGGAAUAUUGCACAAUGGGCGGAAGCCUGAUGCAGCAACGCCGCGUGCGGGAUGACGGCCUUCGGGCUGUAAACCGCUUUCGCCUGUGACGAAGCGUGAGUGACGGUAAUGGGUAAAGAAGCACCGGCUAACUACGUG
Molecule: ribosomal RNA, 468 nt
Filed under: uncultured bacterium
Lineage: Bacteria
Description: partial 16S ribosomal RNA
Rfam family: Bacterial small subunit ribosomal RNA
Source: RNAcentral